CAACCCUCAAGCCCCCCGGGCUUGGUGCUGGGGAUCGGCCGUCAUGGGCCGGCCCCGAAAUCGAUUGGCGGUCUCGCUGUAGCCUCCUCUGCGUAGUAGCAACACCUCGCACUGGAACGCGGCGCGGCCACGCCGUAAAACCCCAACUUCUGAAA
This 155-nucleotide unclassified non-coding RNA is filed under the name uncultured Acremonium. RNAcentral's name for it is "sequence contains ITS2". The record is from RNAcentral. Lineage: Eukaryota; Fungi; Ascomycota.